Molecule: unclassified non-coding RNA, 348 nt
Filed under: soil metagenome
Description: partial contains 5.8S ribosomal RNA, internal transcribed spacer 2, and large subunit ribosomal RNA
Rfam family: 5.8S ribosomal RNA (bases 1-120)
Source: RNAcentral
GAUGAAGAACGUAGCGAAAUGCGAUAAGUAAUGUGAAUUGCAGAAUUCAGUGAAUCAUCGAAUCUUUGAACGCACAUUGCGCCCGCCAGUAUUCUGGCGGGCAUGCCUGUCUGAGCGUCAUUUCAACCCUCAUGCCCCUAGGGCGUGGUGUUGGGGAUCGGCCAAAGCCCGCGAGGGACGGCCGGCCCUUAAAUCUAGUGGCGGACCCGUCGUGGCCUCCUCUGCGAAGUAGUGAUAUUCCGCAUCGGAGAGCGAUGAGCCCCUGCCGUUAAACCCCCAACUUUCCAAGGUUGACCUCAGAUCAGGUAGGAAUACCCGCUGAACUUAAGCAUAUCAAUAAGCGGAGGA